UACGGAUGGCUCAGUCGGUACAGCACCUGACUAUCAGUCCGAAUCUCAAGGUCGAAGCCCGCUGGUGGUCCUAGGUCCAAACCCUGGUCCGGUAG
This 95-nucleotide transfer RNA is filed under the name Ancylostoma caninum (dog hookworm). RNAcentral describes it as "tRNA-Asp". The record is from RNAcentral. Lineage: Eukaryota; Metazoa; Nematoda; Chromadorea; Rhabditida; Ancylostomatidae.